UAAAAUAAAAGUGAGAUCUGUCUUACGAGACUUUGUAGACUUUCAGUCACCUGGUUUGCUUGCACUGAGGAAAAGAAUGGGAUCAUAAAAACGCCCACUAGAGCUGCCUCUUCCUUCACCAAAGACUUAAAAGGUGGAAUGGGUCUCUUCUUUAAUCCAUUUCAAGAGUAAGCUGGGUGUCGACGGACAAUAUCUUUCACUGAUGUGGAUGCCCAGGGUGGAUAAUUUCCCAUCAGGCUGCAGAAGCCUGUGCUCAAUGAUGAAGGCUCCAGGUGGCCUUUGGCAUGUGACUCUUCAAGAGUGAUUUCUCUAAAACGCUGAUCUGGUCAAGAUGCCUUCCAUGACUUGGCCUCCUGUUUUCCUCAAGCCUCAUUUUGCAAUUCUCCCCUUGUUGUACAUGACCCUCCGGCCUGAAAACGAAGGUGCAUAAGAUUCCGUGAAUAGGACACUACUGUUGAUAUCUCCCAGCCUCUGCACAUAAGGUUCCCUCGCCUUCACCCAUCUGGAAAAUGAGAACACACUUCAGUUACCUUCUCUGGGACAUUGUCUUUGACCUGGCUCUGCAGUUAGGCGCGUUUUAACUUCUUCUACCGCCUUGCAGUGUGGACAUCUUGAACAUGCUACUUCCCGUAGUGCAUUGCUACCAUUUGUUUACACACAUUUUUCACAGUCUGCAUUAGGCUGUUUAUGUCCCCAGGGCCAAGCGUAGGACCUGACACAAAGUCCUUUCUUAAUAAGAAUUUGUUAGAAGAACGAAUGAAAACGUUAGAGAUCUUGGGGAAAGAGAGGUUGGUCGCCAUUGAAUCUAUUUGAUUUGACUGGGACAAGAGCAGCUUCUGAUGUUAAAUUUGUCCAGCUAAAUAGACAGGAUAAGAAGCACCAUUUAUGACCGGUAUGAAAACUCUGAUUAAAGCACAGAUUAUGACAGAAAAAUAAAUUAAGGUUCUGAAAUAGUGUUUUGGAAUAUUUACCCUUUUCUGGAACAUUAAAUUCGUUUGAUACAAGAUGAGGAUUUUACUAUAAGAUAAUCAGUGAAAAAUCACUAAGCUUGUUGAAAAGAAAAGACAGAAGAUUGGGGCAAAUGGGAUAGACAGAUGGAGACUUAAUAUCAACAUUAUGAUGAGCUCUUACCACUGAUUUAAAAAAACCAACAUCCAGAUCGACAACUGGGUGGAAGAUGUAAACACGUAUAGACAUUUGGUGAAAACUUCGGCAUACGCUCUAUUAAGACUCAUAUAAAAUGCUUAUAUCAUUUGGCCUAGUAACUCUUCACUUGGUGCUUUAUUGAAAAGAUUUUUUUUUUAACCAAGGUGAUGCUAUAGACAUACAGUUGUUCAUUGUAACACUAUCUGUAAUAUCAAGAAUUGGAAAUUAUCUAAAUCCUAAUACUGAAAGGAUGGUCGUAUCCAUUUGGAUGUAAUAUGCAGUAGGGGCAUCCGGGUGGCUCCGUCGGUUAAGUGUCCAACUCAGGCUCAGGUCACGAUCUCGCGGUUUGUGAGUUCGAGCCCCGCUUCGGGCUCAGUGCUGACAGCUCAGAGCCUGGAGCCUGCUUCCGAUUCUGUGUCUCCCUCUCUCUCUGCCCUUCCCCCACUCACACUCUGUCUCUCUCUCUGUCUCUCUCUCUCUGUCUCUGAAAAAUAAACAUUGAAUAUAUUAUGCAAUAAGUAAAAUUAUUGUCCGUAUUUAGGCCAGAAGUACUUUGGGUAAGUAGCAAAUUACAAAACCGUCUCUAAUCUUUCAUGGCAUAUGUGCAUAAGGAGAGGGUCCAAAAGAAAAACUGGAAGAGAAAAGGUAUCAUGGGGUGUUUUUGUCUCUGGAAUUAUGUUUAAUUAAUAGGAGACACUGUCUCUUGUACUGUUGUACAAUAAAGGAGGUGAGGUGGAACGAUAGAAACAACACUUGCCUUGGGGUCAAGAUCCCAGCUCAUUCCUUUGCCCUGUGAUUCUCUUGAGCAAGUUCACCAGUCUCACCUCUAAAAAGGAAAUACAAUGACGGACUGUAAGGGCCUUUGUGCAUAGCAAGGGAGACGACCAAGCUAGUACAGAAGCAUUCCAUCCCUGUGAGCUCAGUGUAGGUUAAGGAACGCUGCCUGUGCCGCGAUUUUCUCUUCCAGUGUGAUAGAGGAGAUUGCAGCCCUACUCACACUGGACGCCGGACUCCACCUUGACUUUCGGAGUUAGAUACGACAUGGUCACUACUAUGUGCAGGUGAAUAGGGGACCUCAGCAAACAAAUUAGACGACUCUCAGUUCCCCUCUGUGGAUUUGUGUUUGCUGCUUCUGUUGGCCAGAGUGUGGGCUGGAGGAUGAGGCAGGGAGACUGCCACAGGACAAUGAGUGUGGUUUAGGACUGUCAGGGAGGCUGGGAAGAGAGAUUUCCCAUCUUGUCUGUCUGAGAUCCACAGAUACAACUACUUGGCCUCACAUUCAUUUUAAUGUGAAUCAUGAAGAUCGUUUUAAUGUGCUUAUUUUAUUUUAUUUUAUUUUAAGGGAGAGAGAGAGAGGGCGCAAGUGAGCGAGGGGCAGAGAGAAAAGGGAGUGAGGGAAGCGGAACUCACCCGAAGCAGGGCUCAGGUGAUGUGGGACUCAAAUUCAUUGAAGUCAGAUACUUAACUGACUGAGCCACCCAGGUGCCCCUCAUUGUAUUUAUUUGAGAGAGGGAGAGAGAGAGAGAGAGAGAGAGAGAGAGAGAGAACCCGCUGGGAAGAGGGGCAGGGGGAGGGAGAGAGAGAAUCUUAAGCAGCCUCCAUGCUCAGCGCAGAGCCUUGAUGCGGGGCUUGAUCCCGUGACCCUGGGAUCAUGUCCUGAGGUGAAAUCAAGAGUCGGAUGCUCAACCGACUGAGCCACCCAGGCACCCCUUUAGUGUGCUCUUUUAAAAAUGUCACAGAGGGGUGCCUGGGUGGCCCAGUCUGUCGAGCGUCUGACUUUGGCUCAGGCCAUGAUCUCAUGGUUCGUGAGUUCGAGCCCCACAUCAGGCUUACUGCUGUCAGCACAGAGCCCGCUUCACAUCCUCUGUCCCCCUCUCUCUCUUCCCCUUCCCUGCUCACACUCUCCCUCUCUCAAAAAUAAAUAAACAUUAAGAAAAAAUUUUUAAUCUUUAAAAAUGUCACAGGGGCGCCUGGGUGGCUCAGUCGGUUAAGCGUCCGACUUCGGCUCAGGUCACAAUCUCACGGUCUGUGAGUUCGAGCCCCGCGUCAGUCUCUGGGCUGACAGCUCAGAGCCUGGAGCCUGUUUCGGAUUCUGUGUCUCCCUCUCUCUGACCCUCCCCCAUUCAUGCUCUGUCUCUCUCUGUCUCAAAAAUAAAUAAACGUUAAAAAAAAAAAAUUUUUUUUAAAUAAAAAAUAAAAAAUAAAUAAAAAUGUCACAGAACUAUCAAUUCAUUGAAUACUAGAAAUACAGUUCAAGAUGGAUGGCUGACCACAUACUUAUCUCUUCUGCCUUUCAAAAUGUUAUUAAAUGAUUAAAAAUGGUAUUUUUUUAAAUGAAGCCAUCAAGAGGGGCACUAUCCAUGCAUGAGAGAUUUCAAAAAAUUUCCGGGUAACAAAAAAUAGAUAUAGGUGACUAAGGAAGUAGCACGAGGAAAUCUAGGUCCCCAGGGAGUGUGAAAGGGGAUUAUUGAAACAGGUUAACAGGGGUGCCUGGGUGGCUCUGUCAGUUAAGCAUCCGGCUUCAGCUCAGGUCACGAUCUCGCGGUUCGUGAGUUCAAGCCCCACGCUGGGCUCUGUGCUGACGGCUCGGAGCCUGGAGCCUGCUUCGGAUUCUGUGUCUCCCUCUCUGUCUGCCCCUCCUCCACUCAUGCUCUGUCUCUC
Molecule: long non-coding RNA, 3807 nt
Organism: Neofelis nebulosa (Clouded leopard)
Lineage: Eukaryota; Metazoa; Chordata; Mammalia; Carnivora; Felidae
Exons: 2
Source: RefSeq, a predicted model, not a curated record